Gallus gallus (chicken) is the source of this 458-nucleotide long non-coding RNA. RefSeq lists it as uncharacterized. NCBI's taxonomy places the organism in Eukaryota, Metazoa, Chordata, Aves, Galliformes, Phasianidae. The transcript is spliced from 2 exons. The record is from RefSeq and is a predicted model, not a curated record.
GCCCGCCCCUCCCGCAGGCCCCGCCAUGGCGGACCCCCUCAGGGAACCGACGGGCCGCGCCCACUCAGCGCGGACGGGCGCCGCGCGCGGGGUGCGGCUCCGCUCGGUACCUCGUCGCCGAAGCGCACCACCUUCUGGCCCGUGUUGAGGCGCAGGCUGGGCUCCUUGUGGAGGAGAGGAAGGAAGCCAGGAAUUGUCACCUGCCCUCCGAGUUCCCGCACCCCGCUGGCCUCUUCCUUAACAUUAAGAGCGGUUUCUGACAACUACAGCUCCUGAGUUCGUAAGCCAGAACAAGAGGGCAGUGCAAAACCAGCAUCUUCAAAACGUUCGUUACCCAACUGCCACGAUCUUCUGGAAGCUGUUUGCCAGCACUGUGAGGAGCUUGCAGCACGAGCACGGUUCUUUUCUCUGAUUCUGUUUUUCCAAGUACUGUAAUUAAAGGCAAAUCUUGUGCUGCA